RNAcentral lists this ribosomal RNA (429 nucleotides) under uncultured bacterium. RNAcentral describes it as "bacterial SSU rRNA". It matches the Rfam family "Bacterial small subunit ribosomal RNA", at positions 28 to 505 of the family's 1533-position model. The record is from RNAcentral.
GAUAAACGCUGGCGGCGUGCCUAACACAUGCAAGUCGAACGGCCUUCGGGCAAGUGGCAAACGGGUGAGUAACGCGUUGGAACCUACCGUUAUCUCAGGGAUAACAUCUCGAAAGGGGUGCUAAUACCUGAUAGUCUCUUCGGAGUAAAGCUUUUGCGGAUAAUGAGGGUCCUGCGUCCUAUCAGCUUGUUGGUAAGGUAAUGGCUUACCAAGGCAAUGACGGGUAGCUGGUCUGAGAGGAUGAUCAGCCACAGUGGAACUGAGACACGGUCCACACUCCUACGGGAGGCAGCAGUGAGGAAUUUUGCACAAUGGACGAAAGUCUGAUGCAGCAACGCCGCGUGAAGGAUGAAGAUCUUAGGAUCGUAAACUUCUUUUAUAAGGGAUGAAGUCUGACAGUACCUUAUGAAUAAGCACCGGCUAAAUACG